This 520-nucleotide ribosomal RNA is filed under the name uncultured bacterium. Its description in RNAcentral is "bacterial SSU rRNA". It matches the Rfam family "Bacterial small subunit ribosomal RNA", at positions 988 to 1509 of the family's 1533-position model. The record is from RNAcentral.
CCAGAGAACUUAGCAGAGAUGCUUGGUGCCUUCGGGAACUCUGAGACAGGUGCUGCAUGGCUGUCGUCAGCUCGUGUUGUGAAAUGUUGGGUUAAGUCCCGCAACGAGCGCAACCCUUAUCCUUUGUUGCCAGCGGUCCGGCCGGGAACUCAAAGGAGACUGCCAGUGAUAAACUGGAGGAAGGUGGGGAUGACGUCAAGUCAUCGUGGCCCUUACGAGUAGGGCUACACACGUGCUACAAUGGCGCAUACAAAGAGAAGCGACCUCGCGAGAGCAAGCGGACCUCAUAAAGUGCGUCGUAGUCCGGAUUGGAGUCUGCAACUCGACUCCAUGAAGUCGGAAUCGCUAGUAAUCGUGGAUCAGAAUGCCACGGUGAAUACGUUCCCGGGCCUUGUACACACCGCCCGUCACACCAUGGGAGUGGGUUGCAAAAGAAGUAGGUAGCUUAACCUUCGGGAGGGCGCUUACCACUUUGUGAUUCAUGACUGGGGUGAAGUCGUAACAAGGUAAGCGUAGUGCU